Small nucleolar RNA from Myotis lucifugus (little brown bat), 131 nucleotides. Ensembl annotates it as small nucleolar RNA SNORA43. The record is from Ensembl. Lineage: Eukaryota; Metazoa; Chordata; Mammalia; Chiroptera; Vespertilionidae.
CAGGUGCUGGACCUGCGGCACCACAGACGCUGCCGGGCUGCGCCUGUGACGUCGGGGCCCAGAGGAAGUGGCCAGUUCUACCCUCAGUGCUCAGAACAGUGGGCACUAGGAUGGUUUGUAGCCUGACAUUC